Nicotiana tabacum (common tobacco) is the source of this 2756-nucleotide long non-coding RNA. RefSeq lists it as uncharacterized. The record is from RefSeq and is a predicted model, not a curated record. NCBI's taxonomy places the organism in Eukaryota, Viridiplantae, Streptophyta, Magnoliopsida, Solanales, Solanaceae.
CACCGUUCAGGUGAGAGUGGCAUAUUUAGCCAACCGACCCUUUUUGGUCAAGUUAAGAUUUUUAAUUUGAAUUUUUUAGACAAAAUAAGUACGGGCCAUAAUUUCCCUUCAACUUCGCUAAUAAUUCGGCAAUUCAAGUCAGUCAGCGAGUUAUAUUUUUCUCUUCAAAAUUACUAGUUUCAUUGAAACGUAAAGUUAACGGCAACCGGAGGAAAAAUAUGAUAUCGGACUUGAAGCUCAUCCGCCAGCUACGGGAUUUCCUAAGUACAUCGGACCUCAACACGAUAAAAACCUCCAUCGUUGGGUGGAAACUGGAGGAAGAUUUUGGAAUUGACUUGUCCCACAAUCUGCGGAAGUGAAAUCGGAAGCAAGUUAUAUGGAGAAGAAGUAGGCUGUUUUAAUGUAUAUCAAACUUUUUGCAUGUCUGGUAAGAAGAAUGUAAGUGGCGAAAAGAGUGGUGGCGGAUUUAGCAAAGUAUGUAGCCUUUCUCCACAACUUCAGAAGUUUACUGGGAAGCAGAAUUAGCAAGUACAGAGGUAGUGAAGAAAUUGUGGAACUAUAUUCGCGAAAAUAAUUUGCAAGAUCCAGCAAAUAGACGGAUUAUAAACUGUGAUGGCAAAAUCUGUGAGCUUUUUAGUGUGGAUAAACUGGACAUUUUCCAAAUGAACAAAGCCCUAGCUAAACAUAUCUGGCCUUUGGAUUCUGAUGGUGGUAAUGGAAACUCUUCUCUUCUUAGGCCUUAAAAUUUAAUAUCCGCUUUUAGUGCUGACUUCUUGAUGUUAUUUAUAAUUCAUGCAUUUUGCUUGUCCAGUAUACUUAACUACGAAUUGAUUUCCAUAGUAACAGCUUUUGGCGUCUGGAAAUUCCGUAGAAAAGAAAAAGCGACAGAACAGGAAGAGGAUGAAGGCAAUAACUCCACGUAAAGUAUACUUGGACAAUGUUAUGUCUUUUGCAGUUCUGAAAUUUGUCUGCUUAUUAAUGCCUCGCCAAAACAAUUGCUAAGAACUCGCGCGCUUAAUCUCUUAGAUAUCCCCUGGUAGUGUUUGUAACGACAUUUCUUAAACCUGCUUUAUCUCAUUAUAGAUUCAGAUGAACCAAUGAGAAAGGAAAAGCGGCACAAUUCAGGAAUUCUUGCUUUCUCAUGCUCUGGUUAAGUUUCUUGGUACAGGAGAGACUGAAUUGCCACGGUCCAACGUUGUUAAGUAACUUGCAGGUAGUCGUCAAUUCUAGGUAUUGGUUCUGUUCUAUCUCCUUUGGAGCAAUCCCAUUUAUUCUCUCUCCUCUCUCUGAAUUCUGAAUUUUGAAAACUAACCUAAAGGACGACAUAGUGUGUCUAUGAUUGACAAUCUUAUACUUCUUGCUUUUGAAAGAUUUUCUUGAAAGCUUGGCAUCCUCGUAACGUGUCGAUCUUUCUGGUCCGAGCCGAAUUUCAUUCUGUUGGGCAAUCAGCAAUGCAUUAAUUCUUGAAUCCUGCUUGGUUUAGGCAGGUAAUUUUUGAGAGUUUUUUAAAGGUUCUCACUAGCAAUACAUUGCGACACAUAGGACUUCUACAUACAUACUGUGGCUCCGACUUACAUGACGCCAGUAUAUAAAUGUCCACUAUUAUUUGGUCAAAGGUUCUUAACUGCGAAAUAAUCAGUUUAUCCGAAAAAGUUUCCGGAGAAACCAUUGUUUUAAAUUCAAAAAGACUUUUCGAUCGGAAGUUGUAUUUUUAGGUCUACUCGAGGAGAACUGUAUUUUUUAAUUUAUUUCCCCCAGGGGAGGUGUUUAUCUUUUCCUGUAUUUUAUUUGGUAUGAGUGUAGGGGAAGUAAAAAGCCUUUUGCUUUAUGAUUUCUGUCCAAUUUUGUUUACUGCUGCUCGUCCUUUCUAAUCAACAAGGGAAUAAGUAAGCCUUGAUGACUUGAUCUUUACUUCAGCUCCUGCUGCUUUCCCGCACUACUCCAACAAAACGUAGUUUUCCUGCAAAAAUAUUUAAGGCCAUCUUUUAUCAUAAGACUAAGGUAGCAGGAGCUAAAUUAUAGUAUGGGUUGCUUCCCUUUGUUUAUCAAAGAUUGCGGGGGUUUUAAACUAGUAUUAAUUAUCUUUCAAACCCCCACAAAUUAAAAAUUCAUUUUGUGGCGGUUGUUAUAGAGGUUUUAAAAAUCCGCCGGAAUAAUGCUCGUGGCACAGGUAACUGCGGCACUCUAGAAACCGCCACAAUUCUUUUUGUGGGAGUCAAACCCCGUCACAAUUUGACCAAAAAACUCCCACAAAGUAACUGGUUUCUUGUAGUGUAAAGCAGGUUUAGAAAUCGCAAAAUUCUAAACAAUGAAACCGGACAUGCUUGCUUGCAUUCCCCCACAUUAAUUACUCUUGAUCAACCUCCUCAUUACCCCGUUAUCCUUGUUAAAAGCAGUUAAAUCUACUGGAAAAAAUAUUUUUCUGAAUCCACAUUCAGUGUAGACAUCUCGGUAGUUGCUUAUGUACUUUGUUUAUGCUUGGCUUGCAUUAGCUGUUUAUUCUAUGAGAAACUUUGUUGGUCAUUUGGAGUAUUAGGUACAUGAACAUACUGUUUUUCCCAGAGGCAAAAUGCAUUGUUUUAGACCGUGAAGUUCUCCUGGAUUGAGUUAUAGAUAGCUACAAAGCAGGUUAAAUGACGAAACAGUUCAUUUUCUUGCAUCCUAGUAUAGUUGAAUGAAGCAAAAACGGGCAGUCCGGUGCACUAAGCUUCCGUUAUGCGUGGGGUUCGGGGAAGGGUCGGACCACAAUAUCUAUU